CAUAGUGUUCAUCCGAACUAUGCGGCUUAUUAAGAAGCAUACGGAUUAUGUCAAUAGAACAUUGCUAUCUGCCAUUAAGCGUCAUUAGAAGAAAAAAUCAUUGUGUGGAAAGAUGUAUUCCAAGCGUGUGAAAAAAUCGGGAAACUUGUAGAGAAGGCGUGCUAAAAUUAUGCGUGAGUUGUUUGAGAACGGAGACGACUGCGAAAUAAUCGAUAAUACAGAAUCAACAAACUUUGAUCAUGCGGUUGAACAAAUAUCCGACAGUUCCAGUUCAGAAGAUGAUGAGUGUGGGAUCCUGAGUAUGAAUGUAGUGGUGUGAGUGCGGAACGGCAAUGGAUGAGAGGCCGCCAGUCUUAGUUGAAUGCUGAAUAAAGGAGGCUGUGUUGCGUGAACUGGUAAA
Anopheles stephensi (Asian malaria mosquito) is the source of this 400-nucleotide long non-coding RNA. RefSeq lists it as uncharacterized. The record is from RefSeq and is a predicted model, not a curated record. The transcript has 3 exons. NCBI's taxonomy places the organism in Eukaryota, Metazoa, Arthropoda, Insecta, Diptera, Culicidae.